GCAGCAGUGUGGGCUAAGCAGCCGGAAACGGAGACACCUGAAGUUCUUGUCCUGACUUUUCCUUUAAUUCACUAACGGACACUGGAUAGGAAAACCUGAUCUGCCUUAGAGGCUUCUUAGCAGCUUGCCACCUGGAAGUUCAUUCUCUCAAAUUUGACUGCCAAGUAGCAAGAAGAAAGCAACUUCCUGAAAGCAUGCUGGGGACGAUAAUGACUGUCAUAUGAGAUUUUCGGUUGGGAGAGUGUCACAGGGAGCAGCUAUCGCUGUCCUGAAAGGAGGACUGACCUAAACAUUAAUACUAGAAUUUAAAAAGGUGACUAAACAGAGAUAAUUGUCUAUUGUGUUGAGGAAGGCUUCCUAGGGUUAAGAAGGUUAAUUAUCAUCAUGGAUAACCAGAAUAUUAGUGUUAUUAGAGGGGAAAAGACUGCUGAUGUUUAAUCUCUAAUUAAUGAUGGUAUUCUACUGACUUGAAAACUAUGAAGCUGAUUGGCUCAAAGGCUUAGCAUGGAAAGCUCGUUGUGGAAUAACAGAGACUGGGGUUGGUUGGGCAGAGAGUGGGGUUGAAUUAUUGCCAUGCAAUUAUCAAGUAACCAAUGCUUCCUGUUUUAGGAGAGGUGAAGUCUGAGAAGUAGGCAGAGGCUUGGGUGGGGGGGUGCAAUGAUGGUGCUUUUGGGGGUGUCGCUGCAAGGUGCAGACAGCACUGUGAAGAGUGUAGCCCAUGCCCACAUCCUCACCCACCUGCAUGACUAAUUUUGUCUUUGUUUUUGCUGCUAGUGGAGUCUUUUGGCUUAAAGUUUCUCUUGUAUGAAGUGUGAUGUUUUAUAAGUAUUUAGAAGCAUCUUUAUAUAUUUGGAUUAGUUUUAUCCAGUUUGCAAGAGUGAGAGAAAUGCUGUUUCCACAGACUAUGGGAGUUGAAUGUUAAUGGAGAAAUGAAGAGUGAGGAAAGCCUCUGGCUGUGAAGCUGAGCCUCAGUUUGCUGGGAACAUUUUGCUGCCAUUUUGAAAACAGUCGCCCCAUCCUGUUCCACAUGAGGGUCUCUUCAUGUGCAAGCCCACUGCUGCUCCUUAGGUGACUCUGGCAGCUUCAGCUUGUCUUCACCCCAGGACUUCUUUCUGCAGAGGCUGCUGAAUUCCUUGCUCAGCUUUUCUCCUACCUCAUCACUUCUCCUAUCUGGUAGCUUCAGUUCACUGAGCUCUCUGAGUGUCUCAAUUUCUGCCCACUUUAUUGUGCCCACUUGGGUUUGUACUCUUCUCAAGAGUGAAACUAUGCAACACAAAGAAUGUCUAGGCAGGACUGGUGUCACAAGUGUGUGAACCAUGCAGUAGAACAGGGCCCUGUGCUCAGAAGGGCCCUGCUCCUGUGGUGGUCUUGGGCUCUGGGAAUACUUCUCAGACUAGAUACCUACCCCACCGGCUCCCACUGCAAUAUUGCACCUCCAUAGAAUCAUGCACUACAUUGUCAUGCUGUUAUCUGCUUGCUUCUUUAUCUUGUCUAAUAUACUAUUAGCUCUUUGGGAGUAAGAAACAAGUGUUAUUUAUUUCUGUGUCCUUAGAACCUAGCACAGUAUUGACCAUGUAGUAGGUGCUCAUUAAAUACUGAUGGAAUGAAAGCAAAAGCCCAUAAUUGGUUGGUGGCAUUGGGGCUGGAAUCAAACUCUCCCAUCUGUGAACCUUGAACUCGGACAACUGCACCAAGAUAUUCAAAUAAAUUUUCAAAUGACAA
Molecule: non-coding RNA, 1722 nt
Organism: Microcebus murinus (gray mouse lemur)
Lineage: Eukaryota; Metazoa; Chordata; Mammalia; Primates; Cheirogaleidae
Source: RefSeq, a predicted model, not a curated record